This is a long non-coding RNA of Equus asinus (donkey), 1639 nucleotides long. The record is from Ensembl. Lineage: Eukaryota; Metazoa; Chordata; Mammalia; Perissodactyla; Equidae.
AGUAGCAGCAGAGAUAUUGCCAAAGGAAAGAGGCCAACCAUCAGAACAGAGAUAUUCAAAGCUUUCUCAGGGGAACUGACUUUAUUUGCAACACAGUGUGGGGAAAUUUAAGUCUAAGGGCAUUCCCAGAAAUAAUGGAGAUUUGGGCAGUAAGCAAUUGAGAGGGGGCUGGUAGAUUCAUGAGAACAACAGUUUAAACCCAACUAAUUAAUGAAGAGAACAGGGGAAAGAAACAACUAAGAAGAACCCACCUGGAGUCAAAACAAAACAAAACAAAAAAUACCUAAAAGACUGGUAUCGAAAACCAUCCCUGCAAAGGAGCCUGGAUUUAAUGGGAUCAGAGUGUGGAACAAUGUGUGCCUCCAGGGCAUUGCAGAAAACAGUAGAGCAAUCAGCUGGCCAGGAGUGGAGGCUAAGAGCUGGCCAUAUUACUAACAGGGCAGACAGACAUCUUAACAGAGAGAUCAGCAAAGGAGAGUCAAAGAGAACCCAGCUACAGCCAUGGUAUCCCAGGAUGGCUGUGUGCGCACUCAUGGCUGCACAACGUGUGGGGAACAGAUUUCACUAAAACAGUCCAGCAGAGUCACUAAACAAGUCAGCAAGCAAACAACGACAAAAACAAGUCCCAAGGAGGGAGGUUGCUACAGGACAUUAUGAAAAACGGCCAGUGGGACCAAGUCACAGGGAAAGAACAGGCAACAGAAAACAGCAUUUCAUCAAAUACCUCAGAGAUGAACCCUUGUGUGGAGAUGAUGGAGCCACAAGUUCUGAGCACUUCUGGCUGCUCAGCAACUUUAAUGAGGACAGAUGCCCGUAGAGUGACCUGGAGCCAGAGAGGCCUCUACACACAUGGAUAUCCACAAGCUUUGAAAUUGGACAGGACCGGGGCCAAACAGAAAACAGUGGACACAACCUAAAAUGACACAAAUUCCUUCUGAGUGACUGGCUUUCUCACCAGUCCCUGUGCCCAGCCCACGUCAUUCUUCCUCCUCCUGAGCAGCAAGCACUGAACUGGCCCUGCUUCUUGACAGUAUUCAGUCCGGAGCUGGUCUCUGCUUCCCUUGUCCCUCCUUAGAAUUAUUAAACCUGAAUUCACAUCAGUAAAACCCAGUGCCUUCCAGUGAAAUACAAAAGCUCCUCUGAAAGGUGCUGUUCUCCCUCGCUACAGCAAAUUAAUUGUAGUCUUUCUCUUUCUCUCCUUCUCUCUCUCCUUCUCUCCCUUCCUUUCUGUGCUGCUUUCUUUCUUUUCUUUUUCACUACAGGCAUACUCUUAGUUGCCAUUGAUCAGUGAGCUUUAAAAUGCCCUGUCCUAGCUAUUUCAUUCAUAUUGGCAGGGAUAAACAAAAUAAAAAUAAGUAAAAGAGCUGCCAGGCUGCUUUGAAAGCUGGUGUGGAGUAAGGCUAUUUUACUUGCCUAUUCUUACUACACCUGUGCUUUGAGAUUAUAUUUAGCCCAUCAGACGCCUUGUUUACUUAUUUCCUUCUUCCAAUCCAACUGCUCCGUUUCUUUUUCUCUGCCACUCCUUUGCUCUGUGUGUAGAUUCAAACGGGAAUGUGAUAUUUUUUAAAGGCAUAAUUAUAUGUCUACAUCAGAUAACCAAGAAGACAUUAGCCUGAUUUAAUUAUGGUGGCAAAUCAUC